CCGCGCCGGGACGGGCAGGUGUGCGAUUUGGAACUGGAGGGAACCGCUCUGUCCGAGCCCGGCCGGGUACCCGGAGGGGAAGGACGGACUACGCUUCCCGACGCCCCGUGCGGCGGACGACCCCGGGCGAGUCCUCCCGCCGUGCCGCGGCCUUCGCGACAGCGGCCGCUCCUUCCUGCGGGAACCGUCGUUCUUCCCGGCAGCUGGCCGCGCUUGCGGCGGUCGGUCGGUCGGUCGGUCUCUCUGCCAGGCCCCUCCCUGCGGCCCGAAGCCCUGGCUGGGGCGCCGCCGGUGACCCCAGUCACGGACGGUAGCAGGCCGCUCCCAAAUCUCAAGUCUAUACCCCUUGAGAGGGAAAAAACAAAACUCCUCCCCCUGGCCGCAAUUCCUGGGUAAAUUCGGGCCCUGAUCCUCGGCUCGGACCGAAGGUCUUCACCUUAUCCCCCGGCAGCAGAAUUCUCUUCUUAACGAUCCCAGCUCGUUACCGUAUCACUGCCUGGCUCAGAAACUUCCCGCGGCUUCCCAACGUCCAAAUUCUUAGCAUUCGAUACGAGCAUUGUAUGUGCUACCUAGACACCCAGACUUCACCGGCUUUUUCCAAAAUGUUCAGUACGGACACUGCGACGGGAAACGGCCCUCCCCAGAGAGCAGUCUGGUUCCUCUACAAAUACCGCACCCCUGCCCCUUCUUACACAAUCUGUGGCUGCCACUUGCUGUGGAGCAAGGGACCAGGGCUCCGGACCUGACACCCAGAUUUCCUGUCGUUGACACCUAAGGCGGUCCAGUACCUGACGGAUCCAUUUACCCCUGAGCGGAAAACAAGACCAGGGUUUACGGGGAAAGGAGAUGAGCAGCAGCGCAGCGGGAAGCAGAUGUACCUCGGAAGACCGUCGUGUGACCCAUUAGAGAAAGGGGAGAGCAGACCAUGUCUGCGUCCUGGUGACUUUCCAUCUCUGGCUUCUGAUCCAGACAAACGUGUCUUAACAGUAACUUCCCUUUUAUUUAAAGUUUCCCAAAUGAGUGUUUUUUUCCCAGGUUAUUUGAGUGGAGGAGGCACCAGCUUACCCUCCAGCCUCAUCUCCCUAUACAUUGCCCUCCACACCCACAGCACACCUGCUGUUGCUGGAACUCAGAACUCUCACUGCUGCCUUUCUGCCUUUGUCUUUCCGCCCGUUUCUUCCCCUUGCCUGGAACACCUUCCUCCCAGGUCUACUGGUUGUCAUCUACCAGCCACACCUGUCUCAUUGUUGUCAUGGAAAAAAGCCAGCAAACGUCUACACUACAGAAAGUCGCGAACAGUGAAUUUGGAACCACAUACCUGCCUUUAAAUUGUCAAGUGAGUGGCCUAUUUGAGCCGGUGUUUUCUUAUAAAGGAUUACCUGUCAUUUAGGGGAAAAGCAACCAGGACAGAUCCAAAUCCAUAGGAUCUAUGAAGCAGAGAGUACUUAGUAACAAGUUAUCGAUGGUAUCCAUUUCGGAAAACAAAUAUGUCUUUAGCUUACUUGUACAAAACUAAUUUGUGGUCUCUUGGGUUUGGUUUUGUUUGUUUUUUUUUAAUCAUUUUUUCUUACCAAAUUUACAAGAAAAACAUUGCAUUUUUCUGUUCGAGCAUCCUCAGGCCUGGAGAGAUGUCUAGAUUCUGGCUUCUGAUGAGGGGGCUCCCUUGUACAUGUGGAGCCCAGUCAGUUGUUUAGAGGAACUGACUCAAAGGCUCAGUUCUUGCCUCACGGCCUCCCAGACGCUCAGUAACAUCUCCAAACUAAAGCUUUAGAACGUAACAUAAUUUGGAUGUUAGUUACACUGAUGACUUAAUUCAUUAAUGUCGUCUUCCCCUGAAAUGGUUAAUAGAUUUGGUCUAGAAGCCAAGGAGAUAUGAACUCAAAACGGAAAGAUACUUGUUCUUUGCAAGUUCCUAUGUUUUGCUUUACGAAGAGCUAUUCCUUCAUCUGAUGCGCUUCUGCAUCAUAAAAAUCAACCACAUUAUGUCUCUUAAAAUCCCUGGCUACGUUUCGUGGAGUGGUUUCCAGCUCUGACUCCAGCUCUGACAGUUUAUAAUUCAGACAGCAUCUGAAGAAGUUAAUUUCUGGACCUGUGAUGUCAUGCUAACAAAUGGCCACCAGAUGUCAGUCUUUCCUUGUGUUUUUAGACACAAAUGGCCUUCGGAACCACAUUUACGGUUCUAUUUGUGUGGCAUCCUCAGUGGAAGGCACUUUUCAGGGAGCAUCUGCCCCCUCACAGUCCAUCACGCAUGGUCCUAAGCUCUCUUUGCUCUGGUGUCACUGUCCUGGGUUACGGCAGUGACUUGUCCCCACGGGCCACUACUCGGCCCUGGGCCCUCGCUUAGAGCCCAGCUCCCACCCUCGAAGUGAUGCAGAGUUGGGGGGCAACGCGGCCGCUUCCUGGAAGAUGGAGCUCGCUCAGAAAGCCGAAGAAUCCAUUUUUCAAGACAAGCAUCAUUGGGAGGAGAACGCAGAACCCAUGUUCUGUCCUUUGCCCGAGGUCACCUGCAGCCUGCGGGAUGGCAGGUGCCUCUGGCAGCACCGAGGUCCCCGUCCUGAAAGGAGGGGACCCCCCCCCCAACAGCCUGCUUGUCCACGUCGCACUCUGACCCCGAGCUGAGCAGCCUGGGAACCCAAGUCACCGCAGAACCAACCACGAGGGACCGUAACUUCUCCUCCGCCUGGAGGGCCCAGGCCCUGGCUGCAGCAGAGAAAAAGCCGGCCAGGCCUCCCCUCCCCUCCCCUAACCCUAACCCUAACCCUGACCCCUCCCCCUUUCCCACCCCGCCCGGCCUCCCCCUCCCCCAGCCUCCCUGGGGCAUCCCGGCACAGGCUGGAGCUCAGCCGGUGGGAGAAGUCAAGCCCAAGACAGGAGGUGAGCGGCCAGCAAGCUGUGCUGGGCUUCGUGUGGACGGAGACGCCUGCGAGGCCACGGGCCCAACACGGGGUCCAGGGUACCAGGGGCCCCAGACAGCCCGCGCCGUGGGGACUGGUGACAGAGAGCUCAGUCAGUGGAAUGACUUCGCGGUGGCCCUGCCCAGGGUUGUUCUUGCUCACCUGCUGCACUUGUGCGGACCCUGCGGUCACUGCCCUCCCUCCUCUGCCCCCUGGGCCGUGCCUCGAAGGGGGCUCCAGGCACCUGGCUGCGCGCCGGCCUGCACAGGACGCCCCUCUGGGCCGCCACUGAGGGGCGGUGCCGGGCGUCCCGGUGGCGGCUCCUCCCCUGGGAGUCUCCUUGGUGCUGCCGCGUAGGCCUUGGUGCCUCGUCCCCUUGUCUUAUUUGGCUGUCCUCCCCGCUCGGCCCCCUCGCCUCCCCACACGGCCAAUCACCUGCGGCCCUGCUGGUGCCACGUCCCCACCAUCGAGCUCCCCUCCACGGCCGCCACUACCAUCCGGGGACCGGCAGCCCCCAGACUGCUCCCCAGCCCCCGGGAGCCCCCCCCCCAGCCAGCUCCCGCCCUUCGCCACCAGCCGAGAUCGGUGUCCAGCUGUCCAUGAGGACGACACCGCCGACAGGAGAGAGGCGGACAGGCUGUGGAUCGAGGCACCGUCUCCCUCUCCGCCAGAAACAGGAUUUGGACUCCUCUCCACCGUCGCCAAGGCUCCCCGGGCUCCGGUCCGGGCCACGCUUCGUGCCAAGUGACCCCACGGUCCUCCGGAUCUGGCCGGCCCUCUGCCUCACCCGGUCUCAACCCAGAUGUUACCUGCUCAGACCUUCCAGGCCCCUGUGCCCACCCCGCCCCACGGCUCCUGCGUUUUCCUUCCCCACAGUAGCCCCGUUCUCCCAGGAGGAAGGUGAAUGUGAGAUGUGAAGGGGCCUCGCUGUAUCCACGCCGGGCCUCGUCCGCUGUCCUCCCUGGACCGGGGGCGGAGGGGCAGCCGCCUCCCCAGCCCCUCGCCGCCUCCCCAGCCCCUCGCCGCCUCCCCAGCUCUUCUCCAUCUUACGCGCUUCCUGCAAAUGUACCUUAACAGCGGCCUCUUCCCUGCUCACCUCCAGGUGCCCUGAGACCAGACCCAGAGGCCACGCUUCGUCCACCUUCUUUCUUCCCUUCCCCCACACUUGUUCAUCACGUGGCAAACGUUGCCGGAUGACUGUGUGCGCCAGGCACGCGGCGCCUCGGGGAGGGGAGGCCGGACACGGCCCUGCCCUCGGGCCGCUCGCUCCCCGGCUUCCUGCGCAGCCCCUUUGUCUGCCUGGACCCUCCUCAGCGACCCGCUCCUUCCAGGCGCCCGCGCCGCAGGCCCAGCCAGCUUCCAGCACCUUCCAGCGCCAAGACCUGCUACGCGAUUUGCGUGGCCCAGUGCAAGAUGAAAACGCCAGGCCCUGUGUUCACCCGUACUGAGGCUUCGAAGGCACCGACAGCAGAGCGCCUUUGGUGAUUCCGGUUACACAGCAGCUCUCCUGCCCGCCCAUGCUGGAUGUCUGUCCUCUCUCCUGGGGCCGUGGACAUAAGACCCGAGGGAGCCCAAGAGGAGCCUGAGAAUGGAAUGUUCCUAAGAGGGAACGUUGGGGGAAAGGCGGCGUUGGGAGCAGCUGACCUCACGGGAUUUUUAGGCAGAUGGAGUGACCACGUGUGACCUGGGGGACAAUGGACUCGAUAUCAAGGGGGUCAGACCUAGAGGGUGGGGGAUUCUGGGCAAACACUUAGCAGGACUCUUGAGGACAAUGCAGAGAUGAGCACGGAAGCCUAGAAGGCGGGGCCUGGCCGAGCAGAGGGUCGGGGCCUGGCCAACACUGGGUCAGGAGAGACUGUCACGAUGGGAGGCAGCUACUGUCACGGGGCUCUGGUCCCCACCACACCACACCUGCCACCAGGCCUCCUCCGGGACGCCUCCUUGAGGAGGGCUCUCACUCCCAGAGAAAACGGACCUGUGCCAGAGUGAGAGCCGAGGCCUGGUGAAGGGGGCUCCGCUCCGAGGAGGUCCCCCAGGGCGUUUCCACAUCAGACGCCUGGUAAAGAAUCUUCCAGCCUUACCACCUCGGGGCUGAGAGGGUGGGUCCCUGCAUCGGGGUGACAGGAGCAAGGCAGGCGUCACAGGGAUCCCUGCUCACCGAUGCCCUCGCUAAGGCUGUCCGCUGCCUUAGUACCUGCCUGCUGGUUUAGAACUGGUCCCCUGGUCCUUCUAGGCAAGUCUGAAGGACGGGGUCUCUAAGGGGCGCUGUCCAGGGAAGGCCGGGCUCCUUCGAGGACGGACUCCCUCAUGGGAGUCCCAGCUGCUGAGUCGCCCAGAACCCAGGGCAGCUGUCGCCUGCCAGCUGCACUGCCCACCCUCUCCCCCUGCCGCGGCCCUGGAGGUCCCUCCCCGGGGGUCUGGUGCCACCUCCCUACGUCCAGCACAGAGGCUAAGCCCUGUGCUGACCUCUGGCCGUGGGCCUCACAGGGUGCCAGGCGUUCUGUUGUAGGGUUCCUCGGAGACCGCUCUGAUUUUCCAUCCCUCUCCGCGUGGGGGGCCCCGUGCCGUCCCCUCACCCGCUUGCACCGUGCGCCCUCCCAGCCCCGUGGGUUCAGGUCCCACGGCCUCCGCCCAUGCGCCCACAUCCUCAUGGCCCCGAGCACCUGCUCUGGAACUGGUCCGUUCCUGCACUGCCUGACGUUUCCUGGGCUCCCCUCCCUUAGCACCCCUGCCUUGCUUACCAUCAUCCACGGGACCGCCGGAGGUCUGGUGAGCCCUAUUCAAGGUCUGGCACGACCUAGCCCCCUGGUGUCUUCAGUCCCACGCGGGCAAGUAUCGUCACAGAUUUGUGUGCUUGGUGUAGGGGGUUUCCACUGGGCUCUGCUAGGGGGCCUGAGGCUGGGGGCUACUCCGAGCAGGUCUCCUGGGUCUCCGGCCGGGGCGAUCCUAUGCCCUGUGCGCCGUCCCCCACGUCUCACGCCAGCCUCCAGGAACGCCUGGCCCAGUCCCGUGGUCGUCGUAGCUGUCUCCGGACUUGCCCCACGACCUGGGGCGGGGGUGGGGGGGGGUGGGGGUGGGGGAGGCACAGAAGCACCCUGGUGGGGAACUGCUACUCUAUAUCUAAGCAGUGGCUUUUGAGAUGUUCUCGGUGGCUGGAAGAGGGCCACUGGAGUCAAGGGAAAGGCUUUUUUUUUUUUUUUUUUCUGGAGAAGGAGUGAAGAAGCAGUCAUUCACCAAAGAGUUGUUGAAAGGAUCAAUGAGCACAUGAAUAUGUGGAUAUUCAUCUGAAUAAAAGUAUAACCUUGUGAGAUUAAACACCGGGAGCUCCGGCAAUCACACUCCUUGGUAUUUAAACAAA
Long non-coding RNA from Prionailurus viverrinus (fishing cat), 6252 nucleotides. RefSeq lists it as uncharacterized. Lineage: Eukaryota; Metazoa; Chordata; Mammalia; Carnivora; Felidae. The record is from RefSeq and is a predicted model, not a curated record. The transcript has 4 exons.